CGCUGGAUAACCGCGCCCGAAUUUUAUCUACAACGAGACAGGGUUGCGAUGGAUCUUCUUCGCGAACGAUGAUCUAUGCAUCUUCGCAAUCCAACAUUCGCCUAAAUUCAUUUUUAUUUUUUUGCAUCACGAAGAGCAUCACAAAAACGCGAACGGAUGCAACGCCGAAGAAGCAUAAUGAACACACCGAUAAGUUGCUCGCGAAGCCUUUCCACUCGCAGGAUUAAUUUAUCCACGUGUUGUUUAUUCUCGCGAUUCAUUGCAAGGUUGCUUCUUCUCGCAAAGUCUAGCAAACACUGCGGGUCGCAUCGUGUACUUUGUACACGCAGCCCAACAAAAGCACGCUUGAAGGACACAGCAUGAGUGUGGCUGGGUGCUGCUGGUUAUGGCUUACACUGAACGAAAACUCCGGUCGCACAUUGAAUGAUUUGUAAUUCACAUGAUUAUAAAACUUCACAUUCCUCAUUUUGAAUGAUUAUGAAAGAAUAUGCUGUAUCCACUGUCUGUUGAACAAAAAUCAUCCAAUUCAGAGAUGAAUUUUAGAUCAUAAUAGAAUGGUAUUAUGCAGCUAAUCGAACAAUGAUAACACAUAUGAAUAGAAUGCAAUUUAUGACGGAUUUUAAUUUCUCCCAUGUCCCAAACCGAAAAUCAUUCAAUAACUGUCUGAAGUAUCAGACGAAAAGGGGAUGGUCAAAUGUCAAAUCAAUCUUCUAAAUCUUAACGUAAACAUGGUGACGGCAGCGUGGUUUUUCAAGAGUUUCUGGGUGAAUUUUACAGGUCGCUAAUAUGCAAGUAUUAUGAUUCCAUGGAGCUCAGCGAAAUGGUGUUCGGCAGGUUGGCAUUUGUUCCUGAAGACUGGUGAAUAACAUUUAAUAACCUCAUUAAGGAAAUAAAUAAUAAUGUGCAUUCAGCAACAGU
This is a long non-coding RNA of Aedes aegypti (yellow fever mosquito), 918 nucleotides long. RefSeq lists it as uncharacterized. The record is from RefSeq and is a predicted model, not a curated record. Lineage: Eukaryota; Metazoa; Arthropoda; Insecta; Diptera; Culicidae. The transcript is spliced from 2 exons.